RNAcentral lists this ribosomal RNA (253 nucleotides) under uncultured bacterium. Its description in RNAcentral is "partial 16S ribosomal RNA". It matches the Rfam family "Bacterial small subunit ribosomal RNA", at positions 524 to 776 of the family's 1533-position model. The record is from RNAcentral.
UACGUAGGCAGCAAGCGUUGUUCGGAGUUACUGGGCGUAAAGGGUGUGUAGGCGGUUCUUUAAGUUUGGUGUAAAAUCUCCCGGCUCAACCGGGAGGGUGCGCCGAAUACUGAGGGACUAGAGUGCGGGAGAGGAAAGUGGAAUUCCUGGUGUAGCGGUGAAAUGCGUAGAUAUCAGGAGGAACACCGGUGGUGUAGACGGCUUUCUGGACCGUAACUGACGCUGAAACACGAAAGCGUGGGUAGCAAACAGG